Molecule: small RNA, 107 nt
Filed under: Marmota monax (woodchuck)
Lineage: Eukaryota; Metazoa; Chordata; Mammalia; Rodentia; Sciuridae
Source: RNAcentral
GCUGGGUGUGGUGGUGCAUGCCUGUAAUCCCAGCUGCUCGGGAGGCUGAGGUGGGAGGAUCAUGAGUUCCAAACCAGCCUCAAUAACUUAGCGAGACCCUGUCUCUA